AGCCUCCUAGUGCUUACCACAGGCUGUGUUCUUAUACUGACUGUAUAGAAAGAGAAGGCAAAGUAAAUCUACCCCAUAUACACCUCAGCCCAGGCCCUGGGGCCUGAUCUGUAUUGUGAAUGGAGAGACAUGG
Molecule: small nucleolar RNA, 133 nt
Filed under: Castor canadensis (American beaver)
Lineage: Eukaryota; Metazoa; Chordata; Mammalia; Rodentia; Castoridae
Description: Small nucleolar RNA SNORA51 (ENSCCNG00000023532.1)
Rfam family: Small nucleolar RNA SNORA51
About the family: ACA51 is a member of the H/ACA class of snoRNA that guide the sites of modification of uridines to pseudouridines.
Source: Rfam by way of RNAcentral